GUGGGGAAUAUUGGACAAUGGGGGGAACCCUGAUCCAGCCAUGCCGCGUGUGUGAAGAAGGCCUUUUGGUUGUAAAGCACUUUAAGCGAGGAGGAGGCUCUUCUAGUUAAUACCUAGGAUGAGUGGACGUUACUCGCAGAAUAAGCACCGGCUAACUCUGUGCCAGCAGCCGCGGUAAUACAGAGGGUGCGAGCGUUAAUCGGAUUUACUGGGCGUAAAGCGUACGUAGGCGGCUUUUUAAGUCGGAUGUGAAAUCCCUGAGCUUAACUUAGGAAUUGCAUUCGAUACUGGGAAGCUAGAGUAUGGGAGAGGAUGGUAGAAUUCCAGGUGUAGCGGUGAAAUGCGUAGAGAUCUGGAGGAAUACCGAUGGCGAAGGCAGCCAUCUGGCCUAAUACUGACGCUGAGGUACGAAAGCAUGGGGAGCAAACAGGAUUAGAAACCCCAGUAGUCC
RNAcentral lists this ribosomal RNA (451 nucleotides) under uncultured bacterium. RNAcentral describes it as "partial 16S ribosomal RNA". It matches the Rfam family "Bacterial small subunit ribosomal RNA", at positions 354 to 796 of the family's 1533-position model. The record is from RNAcentral.